GAUGAACGCUGACAGAAUGCUUAACACAUGCAAGUCUACUUGAAUUUGGGUUUUUUAACUUAGAUUUGGGUGGCGGACGGGUGAGUAACGCGUAAAGAACUUGCCUCACAGCUAGGGACAACAUUUGGAAACGAAUGCUAAUACCUGAUAUUAUGAUUAUAAGGCAUCUUAGAAUUAUGAAAGCUAUAUGCGCUGUGAGAGAGCUUUGCGUCCCAUUAGCUAGUUGGAGAGGUAACGGCUCACCAAGGCGAUGAUGGGUAGCCGGCCUGAGAGGGUGAACGGCCACAAGGGAACUGAGACACGGCCCUUACUCCUACGGGAGGCAGCAGUGGGGAAUAUUGGACAAUGGACCAAGAGUCUGAUCCAGCAAUUCUGUGUGCACGAUGACGUUUUUCGGAAUGUAAAGUGCUUUCAGUUGGGAAGAAAAAAAUGACGGUACCAACAGAAGAAGUGACGGCUAAAUACGUG
This 468-nucleotide ribosomal RNA is filed under the name uncultured bacterium. RNAcentral describes it as "partial 16S ribosomal RNA". It matches the Rfam family "Bacterial small subunit ribosomal RNA", at positions 28 to 507 of the family's 1533-position model. The record is from RNAcentral.